RNAcentral lists this ribosomal RNA (490 nucleotides) under uncultured bacterium. RNAcentral describes it as "partial 16S ribosomal RNA". It matches the Rfam family "Bacterial small subunit ribosomal RNA", at positions 30 to 507 of the family's 1533-position model. The record is from RNAcentral.
AUUGAACGCUGGCGGCAGGCCUAACACAUGCAAGUCGAACGGUAACAGGAAGCAGCUUGCUGCUUUGCUGACGAGUGGCGGACGGGUGAGUAAUGUCUGGGAAACUGCCUGAUGGAGGGGGAUAACUACUGGAAACGGUAGCUAAUACCGCAUAACGUCGCAAGACCAAAGAGGGGGACCUUCGGGCCUCUUGCCAUCGGAUGUGCCCAGAUGGGAUUAGCUAGUAGGUGGGGUAACGGCUCACCUAGGCGACGAUCCCUAGCUGGUCUGAGAGGAUGACCAGCCACACUGGAACUGAGACACGGUCCAGACUCCUACGGGAGGCAGCAGUGGGGAAUAUUGCACAAUGGGCGCAAGCCUGAUGCAGCCAUGCCGCGUGUAUGAAGAAGGCCUUCGGGUUGUAAAGUACUUUCAGCGGGGAGAAAGGGAGUAAAGUUAAUACCUUUGCUCAUUGACGUUACCCGCAGAAGAAGCACCGGCUAACUCCGUG